AAGAGAUCCUGAAAACCAACAUUCCACACAGAACUCUCAGAAGCUGGGCAGUUGCUAGACAGAGUUGGUGGACUCCUCUGGAAGAGGGAGAGGCUGCUUUUCUCUAGCAGUCAGGAAAGCCCAGAGGGUUUCUGUCUGGUAUCUCUGGGGUGGGCCCAGAGAACCAGUGGUUACCUCUUCUUUGGCUUUCUUGAUAUUCUGCCUGUUCCUGCCUGCUAUUGCUGCCAGUGUUACUUAUGUCAAGUGGAUUUCAACAGGCUAUUACUGGGACUACUGUUUGAAUCAAAGAGGACUCCUAUGUUUUCUAGAACCUGAGGUUAAAUGAUUUGCCCAGGAUUGCACAGCUAGUGGCUAGAGAAGCUAGAGUAGCAAUAGGGAAGAAUGAAGAGGAGGAGGACAAGGAGGACAAGGAAGAUGAGGAAGACCAGGAAGAAGAAAAAGGAAAGAAGUCCAUUGGAGCAAUUUUUUAUAGCCAGAGAGAAUCACAGAUGAGCAGGAAAGUUUUAUGAGUUACAGAUUAAAUUUAUUUUGUACUUUAAAAGAAAAAUAAAUUGGACACUGGAGAGAUGCUCA
RNAcentral lists this long non-coding RNA (573 nucleotides) under Monodelphis domestica (gray short-tailed opossum). RNAcentral describes it as "lncRNA (ENSMODG00000030712.2)". The record is from RNAcentral. Lineage: Eukaryota; Metazoa; Chordata; Mammalia; Didelphimorphia; Didelphidae.